RNAcentral lists this ribosomal RNA (253 nucleotides) under uncultured bacterium. RNAcentral describes it as "partial 16S ribosomal RNA". It matches the Rfam family "Bacterial small subunit ribosomal RNA", at positions 524 to 776 of the family's 1533-position model. The record is from RNAcentral.
CACGUAGGAGGCGAGCGUUGUCCGGAAUCAUUGGGCGUAAAGCGCGCGUAGGCGGCUUUGCAAGUCGGGUGUGAAAUCCCCAGGCUUAACCUGGGAACUGCAUUCGAGACUGCAUUGCUAGAGUAUGGGAGAGGGAAGUGGAAUUUCCGGUGUAGCGGUGAAAUGCGUAGAUAUCGGAAGGAACAUCAGUGGCGAAAGCGACUUCCUGGACCAAUACUGACGCUCAUGUGCGAAAGCGUGGGGAGCAAACAGG